GGUCCGAUGCUUAUUGCACCACAUGUGUUUUUCUUUGAAACAAACUUGCUUUGGCGGUGGGCCCAGCCUGCCGCCAGAGGUCUAAACUUACAACCAAUUUUUUAUCAACUUGUCACACCAGAUUAUUACUUAAUAGUCAAAACUUUCAACAACGGAUCUCUUGGUUCUCGCAUCGAUGAAGAACGCAGCGAAAUGCGAUACGUAAUAUGAAUUGCAGAUAUUCGUGAAUCAUCGAAUCUUUGAACGCACAUUGCGCCCUCUGGUAUUCCGGAGGGCAUGCCUGUUUGAGCGUCGUUUCUCCCUCAAACCGCUGGGUUUGGUGUUGAGCAAUACGACUUGGGUUUGCUUGAAAGACGGUAGUGGUAAGGCGGGAUCGCUUUGACAAUGGCUUAGGUCUAACCAAAAACAUUGCUUGCGGCGGUAACGUCCACCACGUAUAUCUUCAAACUUUGACCUCAAAUCAGGUAGGACUACCCGCUGAACUUAAGCAUAUCAAAAGGGCGGGAGGAA
Molecule: ribosomal RNA, 510 nt
Filed under: Candida albicans
Lineage: Eukaryota; Fungi; Ascomycota; Pichiomycetes; Serinales; Debaryomycetaceae
Description: eukaryotic LSU rRNA
Rfam family: 5.8S ribosomal RNA (bases 141-294)
Source: RNAcentral